This 253-nucleotide ribosomal RNA is filed under the name uncultured bacterium. RNAcentral's name for it is "partial 16S ribosomal RNA". It matches the Rfam family "Bacterial small subunit ribosomal RNA", at positions 524 to 776 of the family's 1533-position model. The record is from RNAcentral.
UACGUAGGGUGCAAGCGUUGUCCGGAAUUAUUGGGCGUAAAGAGCUCGUAGGCGGUCCGUCACGUCGGCUGUGAAAACUCGGGGCUCAACCCCGAGCCUGCAGUCGAUACGGGCGGACUAGAGUCCGGCAGGGGAGACUGGAAUUCCUGGUGUAGCGGUGAAAUGCGCAGAUAUCAGGAAGAACACCAAUGGCGAAGGCAGCUCUCUGGGACGGUACUGACGCUGAGACGCGAAAGCGUGGGGAGCGAACAGG